This 433-nucleotide ribosomal RNA is filed under the name uncultured bacterium. RNAcentral's name for it is "partial 16S ribosomal RNA". It matches the Rfam family "Bacterial small subunit ribosomal RNA", at positions 29 to 507 of the family's 1533-position model. The record is from RNAcentral.
AACGAACGCUGGCGGCAUGCCUAACACAUGCAAGUCGAACGAGACCUUCGGGUCUAGUGGCGCACGGGUGCGUAACGCGUGGGAACCUGCCCUUAGGUUCGGAAUAACUCCCCGAAAGGGGUGCUAAUACCGGAUAAUGUCAUCGGACCAAAGAUUUAUCGCCUUUGGAUGGGCCCGCGUUGGAUUAGCUAGUUGGUAGGGUAAAAGCCUACCAAGGCGACGAUCCAUAGCUGGUCUGAGAGGAGGAUCAGCCACACUGGGACUGAGACACGGCCCAGACUCCUACGGGAGGCAGCAGUGGGGAAUAUUGGACAAUGGGCGAAAGCCUGAUCCAGCAAUGCCGCGUGAGUGAUGAAGGCCUUAGUGUUGUAAAGCUCUUUUACCCGGGAUGAUAAUGACAGUACCGGGAGAAUAAGCACCGGCUAACUCCGUG